This 491-nucleotide ribosomal RNA is filed under the name uncultured bacterium. Its description in RNAcentral is "partial 16S ribosomal RNA". It matches the Rfam family "Bacterial small subunit ribosomal RNA", at positions 29 to 506 of the family's 1533-position model. The record is from RNAcentral.
AGUGAACGCUGGCGGUAGGCCUAACACAUGCAAGUCGAACGGCAGCACAGUAAGAGCUUGCUCUUACGGGUGGCGAGUGGCGGACGGGUGAGGAAUACAUCGGAAUCUACUUUUUCGUGGGGGAUAACGUAGGGAAACUUACGCUAAUACCGCAUACGACCUACGGGUGAAAGCAGGGGAUCUUCGGACCUUGCGCGAUUGAAUGAGCCGAUGUCGGAUUAGCUAGUUGGCGGGGUAAAGGCCCACCAAGGCGACGAUCCGUAGCUGGUCUGAGAGGAUGACAAGCCAACUUGAAACUGAGCAACGUCCAAGACUCCUACGGGAGGAAGCAGUGGGGAAUAUUGGACAAUGGCGGAAAGCCUGAUCCAGCAAUACCGGGUGGUUGAAGAAGGCUUUCGGGUUGUAAAGCCCUUUUGUGGGGAAAGAAAAGCAGCAGGUUAAUACCCCGCUGUUCUGCGGGUACCAAAAGAAUAAGCACCGGCUAACUUCGU